CUUCGCUAUUCUUUGCCAGCUCACAGUUGACAUAGCCAAAACACCCACCACUCACCAACUGCCAAGUCCGCGGCCGCGCCAUUCCCAAGCACCCAUGGACGCACCACCACCGCUACCAGGCAAAUCCGGCAGCAGCAGCACACUCCUCGGCCGCCUAAUAAGCGUAGACGCCUCCAUCUCCCAUCACCUCCACACCGUAACCCGACCGCUCCUCCCCCACUCCCUCCUCCUCCUCUUCGAGCUCUCCGCCGACUUCCGCCUCUUCUUCCCGAUCUCCCUUUCCCUCCUCCUCAGCCCCACUCUGCUCCGCCCCUUCCUCCCCCCUCUCCUCCUCGGCCUCAUUCUCGACCUCGCUUUCGUUGGCCUCGUCAAACUUAUCUUCCGCCGCCCCCGCCCUCCACACAACAACGCCUCCACCAUGAAGGUCGCCGUAUCCGUCGACCACUUCUCCUUCCCCAGCGGCCAUGCCUCCCGCGUCUGCUUCGUCGCCUCCCUCGCCCACCUCUCCGCCGCUGCUCUGCCGGAUUAUAAGGCCCUGAAUUAUGCUCUCCUUCUUGUUUUGGUCUGGGCGGUGUUCACAUCCGUCUCCAGGGUUCUUCUCGGCCGCCACUUCCUUUCCGAUGUCAUCGCCGGGGCGUGUUUGGGUGUUCUCGAAGCUCUCUUUGCUUUCCACUUCCUCAGGUUUUAGCGUUUCAGGAGACCUUAAACAGGAGCAGGCAAUCAUUGAAGCCCUGGUGAGAGCAUGUGUCAAAGGCUAGACAGGCUUUAAGUUGGGUGAGGCAAACUUUUCUGGAAUACAGAAAAGUUUUCCUUUAAUUUGAACUUUAAUCCAGUCUUUAGUGGGCUUGAGCCUUCCCCCUCAUUCUCAUUCUCAGAUUGAUUGAUUGAUUGAACAUCAUAAUUAGAGGCAAUGUUAUAUAAUGGGAGGAAGUAUUUUCUAUACCAACAACAAAAUACCAUGAUUCCUCUUGGGUUUGGCCUUUGUCUAUCGUUGUAGAUGAGAUAAGCUCACAUGUCAACAUUUUAUUGUCGCCAAGUUUUAAGGCUUCGUCCUCUUGUUUAUGUAGGGAGAAAUUCCUCGUUAAUUAAUUUCAGAGAAAACGUUCAUGUACUAAACUUGAUGCAGAAAAAAAAAGAAGAGAAAUUGAUACAUUGAUAAUGGACUAUGGCAUGGGUAAAAACCAAAGAAAAUGCUUGGUAUACAGUUUAGCCUCGAAGAAUGCUUUGGUCAAAUUGUGUACAAGGACAAUUUCUGAGGUGGCACGCCUGCUAUAGAUAAUGAUGAACCCAAAUGUUCUACAGUCUACAUACAGACAGCCUGGGAGCGCAGCCCCAUAAAGGUGAUUGAAACAUGUGACACUGGGCAUGAUAAAUUCUAAACAGAUUUUGGGCAGGUGCUCAUCAGCACAGAGUUUGAUGCCUUUCUGACUGAAAAGCUUGGAUUGUGAAAUUGUGAUCGCAGAGGGAUGGGAAAUUGUUUUACAUGGAUUUCCAUUUUAUCGAUGUGCGUACCCAGUUCAGAACUGGCACAAGCAGAGGACCUGGGCAGACGGAUUCGGAGUCUGAAGAAAGACUGACAACAUUUCAAGUAGGAACGUUGGAAGAGUUAGAUGAUCAUGCAGACAGUGCCGCAUGACUUGCAGCUCUGUCAUCAUCUUAGGCUCACUCUGUUUACUUGUAGAGAGAGAGAGAGAGAGAGAGGUACUUUUAGGUUAAGAUCUUAAACUAACGUUGUUUUUAGUGUCUCAACCAUAAUAAAACAUAGGCUACGUUUGUCAU
Molecule: RNA transcript, 1779 nt
Organism: Corylus avellana
Lineage: Eukaryota; Viridiplantae; Streptophyta; Magnoliopsida; Fagales; Betulaceae
Gene: LPPBETA
Gene name: Phosphatidic acid phosphatase (PAP2) family protein
Source: RefSeq, a predicted model, not a curated record